RNAcentral lists this ribosomal RNA (433 nucleotides) under uncultured bacterium. RNAcentral's name for it is "partial 16S ribosomal RNA". It matches the Rfam family "Bacterial small subunit ribosomal RNA", at positions 29 to 507 of the family's 1533-position model. The record is from RNAcentral.
AACGAACGCUGGCGGCAUGCCUAACACAUGCAAGUCGAACGAGACCUUCGGGUCUAGUGGCGCACGGGUGCGUAACGCGUGGGAACCUGCCCUUAGGUUCGGAAUAACUCCCCGAAAGGGGUGCUAAUACCGGAUAAUGUCUUCGGACCAAAGAUUUAUCGCCUUUGGAUGGUCCCGCGUUGGAUUAGCUAGUUGGUAGGGUAAAAGCCUACCAAGGCGACGAUCCAUAGCUGGUCUGAGAGGAUGAUCAGCCACACUGGGACUGAGACACGGCCCAGACUCCUACGGGAGGCAGCAGUGGGGAAUAUUGGACAAUGGGCGAAAGCCUGAUCCAGCAAUGCCGCGUGAGUGAUGAAGGCCUUAGGGUUGUAAAGCUCUUUUACACGGGAUGAUAAUGACAGUACCGGGAGAAUAAGCUCCGGCUAACUCCGUG